UACCGAGUUUACAACUCCCAAACCCAAUGUGAACGUUACCAAACUGUUGCCUCGGCGGGAUCUCUGCCCCGGGUGCGUCGCAGCCCCGGACCAAGGCGCCCGCCGGAGGACCAACCUAAAACUCUUUUGUAUACCCCCUCGCGGGUUUUUUAUAUCUGAGCCAUCUCGGCGCCUCUCGUAGGCGUUUCGAAAAUGAAUCAAAACUUUCAACAACGGAUCUCUUGGUUCUGGCAUCGAUGAAGAACGCAGCGAAAUGCGAUAAGUAAUGUGAAUUGCAGAAUUCAGUGAAUCAUCGAAUCUUUGAACGCACAUUGCGCCCGCCAGUAUUCUGGCGGGCAUGCCUGUCCGAGCGUCAUUUCAACCCUCGAACCCCUCCGGGGGGUCGGCGUUGGGGAUCGGCCCUUUACGGGGCCGGCCCCGAAAUACAGUGGCGGUCUCGCCGCAGCCUCUCCUGCGCAGUAGUUUGCACACUCGCAUCGGGAGCGCGGCGCGUCCAUUGCCGUAAAACACCCAACUUUCUGAAAUGUUGACCUCGGAUCAGGUAGGAAUACCCGCUGAACUUAAGCAUA
Molecule: ribosomal RNA, 569 nt
Filed under: Trichoderma sp.
Lineage: Eukaryota; Fungi; Ascomycota; Sordariomycetes; Hypocreales; Hypocreaceae
Description: eukaryotic LSU rRNA
Rfam family: 5.8S ribosomal RNA (bases 202-355)
Source: RNAcentral